GAACGGGGUCUAWUACCGKAUAACACUCUGUCCCGCAUGGGACGGGGUUAAAAGCUCCGGCGGUGAAGGAUGAGCCCGCGGCCUAUCRGCUUGKUGGUGGGGKGAUGGCCUASCAAGGCGASGACGGGUAGCCGGCCUGAGAGGGCGACCGGCCACACUGGGACUGAGACACGGCCCAGACUCCUACGGGAGGCAGCAGKGGGGAAUAUUGCACAAUGGGCGAAAGCCUGAUGCAGCGACGCCGCGKGAGGGAUGACGGCCUUCGGGUUGUAAACCUCUUUCAGCAGGGAAGAAGCGAAAGUGACGGUACCUGCAGAAGAAGCGCCGGCUAACUACGUGCCAGCAGCCGCGGUAAUACGUAGGGCGCAAGCGUUGUCCGGAAUUAUUGGGCGUAAAGAGCUCGUAGGCGGCUUGUCACGUCGGAUGUGAAAGCCCGGGGCUUAACCCCGGGUCUGCAUUCGAUACGGGCUAGCUAGAGUGUGGUAGGGGAGAUCGGAAUUCCUGGUGUAGCGGUGAAAUGCGCAGAUAUCAGGAGGAACACCGGUGGCGAAGGCGGAUCUCUGGGCCAUUACUGACGCUGAGGAGCGAAAGCGUGGGGAGCGAACAGGAUUAGAUACCCUGGUAGUCCACGCCGUAAACGUUGGGAACUAKGUGUUGGCGACAUUCCACGUCGUCGGUGCCGCAGCUAACGCAUUAAGUUCCCCGCCUGGGGAGUACGGCCGCAAGGCUAAAACUCAAAGGAAUUGACGGGGGCCCGCMCAASCAGCGGAGCAUGUGGCUUAAUUCGACGCAACGCGAAGAACCUUACCAAGGCUUGACAUAUACCGGAAAGCAUCAGAGAUGGUGCCCCC
RNAcentral lists this ribosomal RNA (851 nucleotides) under Streptomyces flavogriseus. Its description in RNAcentral is "bacterial SSU rRNA". It matches the Rfam family "Bacterial small subunit ribosomal RNA", at positions 154 to 1016 of the family's 1533-position model. The record is from RNAcentral. Lineage: Bacteria; Bacillati; Actinomycetota; Actinomycetes; Kitasatosporales; Streptomycetaceae.